CGGAUGUACCCAAUUGGAUUAAGGAAGU
Molecule: transfer RNA, 28 nt
Filed under: Swertia perennis
Lineage: Eukaryota; Viridiplantae; Streptophyta; Magnoliopsida; Gentianales; Gentianaceae
Description: partial tRNA-His
Source: RNAcentral